This is a long non-coding RNA of Solea senegalensis (Senegalese sole), 730 nucleotides long. RefSeq lists it as uncharacterized. The record is from RefSeq and is a predicted model, not a curated record. The transcript has 2 exons. NCBI's taxonomy places the organism in Eukaryota, Metazoa, Chordata, Actinopteri, Pleuronectiformes, Soleidae.
UUGCGCCGUUAGCGCAUAGCCGCCAUGUUAGCUCUGCUCAGGGCGCGCACCCCGACAUUUUACAGCAGGCACUUGGGUGGAAUGGUGCGCGUUCACGAGGGUAGAAUGGGCUACCAUGACUGGCAGAAAAGGGAAAACUGACUUCCCCGUUAUGUACUUGAAGUGGAGCAGCAUAAAAACAAAGCCGAAUAGACAGACAUCAAAUUGGAUAACAUUAAACAAGGCUAAUCCUUCACACUCACAGGCUCGUCAAUCACAGGAAAGACUAGAUCACCUUUUCACAGCCUGGAGGAAGAAAAGCUCCUUGAUUACACGUUUGGCUGUGACUCACCCGCUGCCUCUGUCUGUAGCCUCAGGUCGACUCACAAAGUGAAAGUGGUUCUUCAGGUGUUGAUGGAUUUGCCCAGAAGUAGUUAACCUUACAUAAACUGUUAAAAUACCGUUAAACUAUGCAUUUUUCCCUACUAAAAGUUAGAUUAUAUGUCUGUUAGAGCCUAGGUUUAUCAUUUCAUAAUGAAUGUGAACAGUUUUCUUUUAUUUAUUAUUGAGUAAUUGUUUCUUGUUUUAUUCAAUUUUAGAUAGGGCUGAAACAAUUAAGCGAUGGCUAAAUUGAGUGUUGUUUCUUAAGGAUUAAAAAAAGUUUUCUGAUUUUACAAGUUGAUUGUGAGGUAGGUAUGUAUACAUGCGUUGUAUUUUUAUGUUGUAAAAUAAAAACCUGCUUUCUUAUUAA